CAUUUGCUCUAGUAGAACAGCAUCAAAACCUGUUUCACACUCUGUUACCACCUUCCCCAUCCUUUGACAUGUAGACUGAGAAUGGAGGUUGAGAGAAAGCACAGCCAGGACAGUUGACCCAAGCUGACCAAAGGGGUAUUCCAUACAACAUAAUGUCAUGCUCAACAGUAAAGCUGGAGGGGUGGUUUGCCAGAGGUUGCCCUUGCUUGGUGACUGGAUGGGUACUGGCCAUCUGGUGGUGAGUGACUGCUUUUGCAUCACUUCUUUUUGCUUUGUUUUGUAUUUUCUUCUAUCUAUUAAGUUGACCUUAUCUCAGUGCAUGAGUUUUCUCACUUUUAUCCUUCCAGUUCUCCCCCUCAUCCCAGUGAGCUACUGAGAGGGGAUUGGCUUACUGCUGGGAUUAACUCACAACAGCUCACUGAUGAGUUUUUUUUUCAAAUACAGUUCUCCCUACAAAUGUCUUUGAAUACGGUACUCAGAGAUAAGGCUUUGUCAAGGCUCCAUGACAGACAGCGGCUGCCUGAAGUGCAUGUGAAAAAUGUUCAAGAGAUUUAAGUCAUCUAAAACUCUGUUCAAAUAUGUAGAUUUGCACCCUCCAGAACAUGACCUAAAAUGGAACCGUGUGAUGGAGGAAAAGGUGAGACACAUAUUCUUUUUCCUGUAGGCAUGUCAAAACAAACCAAAUGAAAAUAACGUGGGAUUUCUCUCAGGAGUUCCAGUAUAACCUGUAAACUUCUGAAUGAAGACUUCAAAAUUGGAGUUUUCAUGAGUGAAGACCCGAUGACAUACAGUGAUUUAAGACUUGGGAUUUGGAGUGAGCUCAUGAAUAUCAUAAAGGUUUCUCCUUAGCUUCGUUAGGAGUAGGAAUGCUGCAGAGAAACUGCUUCAGUGUUUCAGAAUCCUUACAGGAAUAUGUCAGCACUAAAUCAUCUAUUGUUCUCCUCAUCCAGCCUGGAGAAUUAAGAAGCACUGAGGAAGAAAGGAAAACUGACUAAAAUAUGUUUGUGCACAAAUUGAUACAGAGAACAAUCAUACAAGUCUAAUUUCCCUAAGAAACUAGACAAAAGUGCUGUAUUUAUACUUGGUAUAAUUUUCUAGCUGACAGUGCACUUCUGACUACCUGUAGUAAGGAUAAAAUUAAUACUAUUCUAAUUUACUAAGUGUGUCCCUAUCUUCCCUUCCCCGAAGUCUUCCUUUCUUAUUUAAUAAUAAUAAAUACAUAAAUAAACAAAUAAAUAAAAAUCCACUUAUAAACAUGGCACUGCUUAGAAAAAAAAAAGUUUUUUCCCCUUUAAUUUUCCCCAAAUUUCUUACUCAAGCAAAUUUUCAUCGGCUGGGGGGAAAUUGUCCAAACAUAGGCCACACCAAAAAAUUGAUAUUUCCCCUUUGAGCAAGAAAGCGCCCUGAACAUGUAAAAUCUAACUGGAUUGUCUUUGUUGUAUAACAUUUGAAUAAAGUGGACAAAAUUCUCAAAGCGUGGAAAUCUAGCAACCACAGAUCCACUUGUCUUUGAUGGAUGCAUCUGCAUGACAGCACUUCUGGUCCUCCCGCGUCAAUCCCCUGAGAUAUUGCAUUUCUAUGCUCUAACUCUUGUUUUUUAAAAACCUUUUGAGCUUGGAUAGAUAUCCCUAGUUCUGUUCUCCCACUAUGGCCUACAAGAACAGGUAGCUGAAAUGCUAUUCCUGUAUUUAACAGGAAGUAUCUGUUACUGGAAGCUUGAUUAUUUCUGUGUUGCUGUUUAAGAGAGAAAAGUGAGUGGAGAUUCAGUGACCUUAUAUGAUCUGGACUUUUGUUCCUUAAAAGACAAAAUAUCACAGAAUUGUAGUUCUGGCUACUGAAAGGGGAAAAUGUAGAAUAGCAAUGUCUGCUUUUCUUCCCCUGAAAUUCUUGACUUAGCCUUACUGUGUUUCUGGUUAAGGAGCAAAGUAGCUAAGCAGUCCUGAGCUUAUUAGUUAGUGGUUUGAAAGUUUGACAGAAGAGCUUGCUGUCUAUUUCUUAAUCCUUAUUUUCAAAAGGUUUUUAUGCAGAUGUUGUGAACUACACACCCAAAGCAAUUGGGGAGAGAAGAGCAUGGCUCUUACCAGGACUCUAAAUUUGGACACAAAUUUCGUUUUAAACAAUAUUUUGUAUUAGCAAAGGAAAAAUAGUGUUUCUGGUCUGAAAUUUUAUAUGGCAACUUUCACCUCAAGAUAAUGAAAACAAGCUGAGCUAUAAACUCUUCAAAACUGGGGUUUAUGGAAAGGCUGACAAAUCCUUUACUGGAGCAAUGUGGCUGGGAGCACUUUAAAAGAUUCUCAGGGAGCAUUAUUGAUCAUGAUCAUGCACUUCCAAGGACUGGAGCUGGGAAGCUACAGGCAGAAGACCUGCUGUUUCCAAUUAGCGAGCUGGCCCAGAGGCAUGUCCAGCAGAUGAUGCCUCAUUAGCGGCCAGCCCUCUGCUCCCCAGGGCCAAAGGGGCAGCCUGAAGGCCUUACACUUUCCUCUUUGCCCUCCGACCAUACGUGGAGUGGAGUUCCCUGAUGGGCCACACCAAUUCUAGCACAGGUUUUUGGUACUAUUCCCAUGGGCAAGAACAAUCAAAGGAAAAAAAACUAACCAAGUUUGGGUUUUCUCUGUCUGUCUGCUGGAAUUAAGCAUCACACAUAGAUCACGUAAAAGGAAUCAGCUUUUAGUGGGAGGGUAUGGCCUCAUUUCCCAACCUCUUUACUUUGAGUUUCGGAACAAAGCCAUCUGAUAUUGGAAGCACCAGCAAGAGCCCAUGAGUGGAUGUCAGGAAAUUCACAGCAGUGUUCUUUGCUGCUUAACGAGCAGUGCUGCUGCUUGUAAAGAUGUGAGGUAAAAUGCUGGCCCCACUGAAUCUCUGGCAAACCUCCUGCAGCCUUCAGUGGGGCCAGGAUUUUACCCUGAGUCUUGCAAGCCAUUUGUUGUAUGAGGUUUUAAUGGGUCCACUCCUGCACAGACAGACUACUCUCGUAGGAAAGGGUUAGCUAGAUUGGCUCAGAUACUACACAAUUUAAAACUUAUAGGAAAGCUAUUUUGUAGUGAAAUUAAGGGACUAUAAAAGGAAUUUGGCUUUAGACAACUUGCUUCUGUUUGGAUUUGGAUUACAUUGCAAUCUCCUUGUCUGUUUUUAGCGUACAUGUCCCUGCCAGCAUCAAUAAUCUAUUUUCCUUAGUGCAAGUGAAAUACUCUAAUAGCUCAGAGGUGUAGUCUGGUGUUCAGUGCUGCUCUGGAUUUCUUCUUUGGUUUAGGAUUUGGGCUACAAAUAGUCAGAGACUGCAAGCUGCUCUAUAAUGUUUAUGCGCUGCCAACAGCCAAUUGAUUGAUAUGUGGGACGACACACUCUACUCCUCCUGUUACUCUACUUCCAGUCAUUUCUAUAUUUUUCCUGACCCCCUUGAUAUAACCCAACUCCCCAGGCUCUUUCUCUGCCCAUGUAGUCCCUCCCACCUCAGUCUCAGCAUUAAUUUACACUUGGCUUGAUUGUAUUUUUGUUGGCAAAAUUUUCAUCCUGUCCAGCAGCAUAUUAAUCCUCAAGCACUUCCUUGAACCUUUCAGGUUUGUACCUCUCCUUUCCCCACCUACUCCAAGGUAAAUAAAUCAGAAGUUUAGAUAAUGCAGAUCACAUUUAUCAUUCUACCUCAGGUCAAUGUCAUGUGCAAGUUAAGCUCAUCAGGGUUAGAGGCUGGAGGUGAAGACUACAGAGAAAGCCCAGAGGAGAAAUGUGCAGGGGUAGCCAUUGCUUCAGAUAAGCACAUAAAAGACCAAUGG
This is a long non-coding RNA of Gallus gallus (chicken), 3770 nucleotides long. RefSeq lists it as uncharacterized. The transcript has 3 exons. The record is from RefSeq and is a predicted model, not a curated record. Lineage: Eukaryota; Metazoa; Chordata; Aves; Galliformes; Phasianidae.